AUUCCAGCUCCAAUAGCGUAUAUUAAAGUUGCUGCAGUUAAAAAGCUCGUAGUUGGAUCUCGGGUAUCGUCUAGGCGGUCCUGCUCACGCAGGCACUGCUCUGACGACCUAACUGGAAGUAUUCGACCCCGAGUGCCCUUCAUUGGGUGCACGUGGGUGGCUUCUGCGUUUACUGUGAAAAAAUUAGAGUGUUCAAAGCAGGCUUAUAUUGCUCGAAUAGUCGUGCAUGGAAUAAUGGAAGAUGACACUGGCGCAUUUCCGUUGGUCUCUGUGACUGGUGUAAUGAUUAAGAGGGACUGCCGGGGGCAUUGGUAUGGCGGGGUUAGAGGUGAAAUUCUUGGAUCCUCGCCAGACCAACAAAAGCGAAAGCAUUUGCCAAGAAUGUCUUCAUUA
Molecule: ribosomal RNA, 393 nt
Filed under: Annelida sp.
Lineage: Eukaryota; Metazoa; Annelida
Description: partial small subunit ribosomal RNA
Rfam family: Eukaryotic small subunit ribosomal RNA
Source: RNAcentral